Molecule: ribosomal RNA, 497 nt
Filed under: uncultured bacterium
Lineage: Bacteria
Description: partial 16S ribosomal RNA
Rfam family: Bacterial small subunit ribosomal RNA
Source: RNAcentral
GAUGAACGCUGGCGGCGUGCCUAAUACAUGCAAGUCGAGCGAACAGAUGAGGAGCUUGCUCCUCUGACGUUAGCGGCGGACGGGUGAGUAACACGUGGAUAACCUACCUAUAAGACUGGGAUAACUUCGGGAAACCGGAGCUAAUACCGGAUAAUAUAUUGAACCGCAUGGUUCAAUAGUGAAAGACGGUUUUGCUGUCACUUAUAGAUGGAUCCGCGCCGCAUUAGCUAGUUGGUAAGGUAACGGCUUACCAAGGCAACGAUGCGUAGACGACCUGAGAGGGUGAUCGGCCACACUGGAACUGAGACACGGUCCAGACUCCUACGGGAGGCAGCAGUAGGGAAUCUUCCGCAAUGGGCGAAAGCCUGACGGAGCAACGCCGCGUGAGUGAUGAAGGUCUUCGGAUCGUAAAACUCUGUUAUUAGGGAAGAACAAAUGUGUAAGUAACUAUGCACGUCUUGACGGUACCUAAUCAGAAAGCAACGGCUAACUACGUG